Long non-coding RNA from Mus musculus (house mouse), 8801 nucleotides. RefSeq annotates it as predicted gene, 39038. NCBI's taxonomy places the organism in Eukaryota, Metazoa, Chordata, Mammalia, Rodentia, Muridae. The record is from RefSeq and is a predicted model, not a curated record. The transcript has 2 exons.
GUGUUUGGUGGGCUUUUAGUUUCCUGUAUUUCCCCUUCCCCUGGAGACACUUUGCAGACUGAAGGGGUCACCUGGGGGCUCUGCUCUCUAGGCUUUUCGGUUUUAAGGAAUGGGUGGGUGACCCAGCCUUGGCAAAGGUCAGUGAGAACUAGAGUCCUAGCUAACAUAUGAAUCAGGGCUGUAAAGGCCCCACAGCAAAGUAUUAAGAGCCCCAGGAUUGGGGUUAAGCCUAGGAGAGGUAGGCAGAGCAGAAACAGGCCUUGGAGGUUCUACUUGAAAGCAAGAGGUAAUAGGCCCUGGGUAGAGUUAUUUCCAGGCUGAAAGCUGGGGCGGUGGACUUCUUUGGUGGCAGGAUUUUAUACUGAGGCCAGGUUGUUGUUGGGUGUCAGCAUCUCCCAUGACCCAGAAUCCUCAGCUUCAGUAUGCCCAGCAGGUUCCCUUUGGGGGCCAAGGACAUUAGCUCUGAGACUACCUGGGAACUGAGAACAUGAUAGUUUGGGCAAAUCCAGUAGAACCCUGACUAUAGCUUUGAGAGUUCUUGUAUGGUGGGCCCAGGAGGGUUGAUCUGAGUCUGGGAGAUUCCUUAGGGUCCUGUAAUGUUCCAAUUGCUCUCUGUGUCCCGUCUUGAAGCCCUAAUUGUUGCCCUGCCUAACCGUGCCAGCUGACCCUUCCCAUCUGGAAAGGAUGCUGGCCCCAACUCCAGAUGAAUCUUGGGUACAUGAUGAAGAAGUAGGAGACAAGAGAGAUACACACUGUUGUGAGGCUAUCGGUAUAGAUGGCUGAGAAAAUUCAGACCCAGGCUCACCGCAGAAGCUGGGCUCCCACAUUUGUCAUAGCAGCACAUUCAAAGGCAAAGUGGCGGGAAAUAAGCUGAGACAUCACCAGGAGACAUUUGAAUCCAGAAGGGAGUCGUGUCAUCGUGAAGUAAUGGACUCCUGUAGGAAAGAAUAAACUUGGUCAUCCAUAGAGUAACGGCAAUCUUUCACAAAGCAUGCCAAUUAAAAACCACUACAUGCUAUAUAUGUGUGCUGGCUACUUUCAUGUGACUUGACCCAAGUUAGAGUCACUGGAGAGGAGGGAGGCUCCCUUGAGAAAAUGCCUCAGUAAGAUGGGGCUAUAGGAAAGCCUAGAGGGUAUCAUCUUCAUUAGUGAUUGAUGUGGGACGGUCCAGCCCAUUGUGGGUGGAUACACACCUGGGAAAGUUGUCCUGGUUUCUACAAGGAAGCAGGCCAAGCAAGCCAUGGGAAGAAGCCAGUGAGCAGCACUCCUCUAUGGCCUCUACAUCAGCUCCUGCCUCCAGGUUCUUGCCCUAGUUGAGUUCCUGUCCUGACUUCCUCCAAUGAUGAGUAGUGAUGUGGACGUGCAAGCCAAACAAACGCUUUCCUCCUCAACUUGCUUUUGGUCAUGGUGUUUCAUCAUAGCAAGAGCAACCCUAACCAAGACGAUAUGUAAAAGAUCACCGUGACUAAGAGCGUCAAUGUACUGUUUAUGAUCACAGUUAUGUGGCAAAACAAGGCAAGUGGUAAAUUUGGCAUAAGCCAGUUUCACAACUUGGUUUCAGGGACGGAGAGGAAAGCAGGGUAUGUAUAGGGUCUUAAGGUUAUUUAGCUUGUUCUCUUUUAAUUUUGUAGUGCUGGAAACAAAAUCUAGUGUUUUGAGCAUGCUAGGUAAGCACACUGUCACUGUAGCUGCAUCUUGAAACCUGCUUUUCACUUCUCAACUUGAAAUCAUGUCUCAUUAGGUUGUCUAGACUGGUCUGUAUUCCAGGCCGGCUUUGAACUUGAGAUCUUCUUGCUUACCCUCCCGAGAAAUGGCGAAUGCUUUCACUCUGAACAGCCUGGCUUCUCAUUGUUUAUCUUAUUUUAUCUUAGCACCCAGAAAAUGACAAUGCUCAAGGUGAUAGGUAGGUAAUGCUUUCAACCUAUAAUCCUUCACUUUUCACAUCUGUUAAAAUAGAACCCUAGAACCCCGAAACAACAAAAACAUUACACCCGCUAUGUCUGAAAUUUCAAACAAAAGUAACAGUGAAUCCACUAAAGCUGAUAUCCCAUAGCCUAAGUGACAGAAAUGUGUUUCCCCAUGGUACUGGAGGCUGGAUAUCCAAGGUCAAGGUGUCAGAAGGACCAUUUCCUUCCCAGGUUUCUGUCCUUGGUUUGCAGACAGCCACCUUCCUGCUGCAUCUUUACAUGGUCUUCUCUUGAUAAACAUCUGUGGCUGAGAAGGAGGGGGCAGGCAUGUCAUGUAAAAAGCCUAGUGAAUGGGGAUUUUCAUAGAGUUGAUGGAGAACCUACAAGCUCCCUUGGGACACACCUAUAGACCAGUGAUCGGGAGGUGGAAGCAGGAUGAUCAGAUGUUUAAGGCUAGCUUUGGCUACAUAAAAGGUUUAGGGCUAGCCUAAGCUACAGUCUUGCUGUGUAGCCCAGUAAUCAUCUUACCUCAGGCUCCCCUAUCUGGCUUCAUGGUACUUCCCUGAUGUAUUUCAGAGAAAUGGUGAAAUGUUAGUAAAUGCUGCUUACAUACUUGAACAUGUAUAACAUCUAGCUAAAGUGUGGUAGUGUUUUAACUUCAGGCACUGUUAAUAUCCGGUGAAAUUCUUACAUCUUCAGUGUCUAUUCUCUGAGUCUUCCCCAAUGCAUGUGCACUGUGGUUCUCACAUCCACCAAGAUACAGGACACUAACAACCUCCAGAAAGUUCCCUCAUGCCCCUUCCUAGUUUGUUUCUGCCACCACCUCUUCGAGAGUUGACCACUGUUUUGAGCUUGCUAACAAUAGAUUACUUCUGUCUGACCUACAGCUUCAUACAAGUGGAAUCAUGUAAUUCCCACUGACCAAGAAUGAUGCGCUGCUGAGAUUCAGCCACGUACUGUAGAUAACAGUAUCUGAUUCCUUUUUAUGGCUACAUAGUAUUAUACUGUGUGGCCAACCUGGAUUUAUCUGUUCUGUUUUUGGAACCCGUGGGCUGCUUCUAGUUUUGGACUUGUGGCUAAAUCCACUAUGAAUAUUCUUGUGUGAGCCUUUUGGAAGACAUAUGUUUUUGUUUCUCCCAGGUCCUGGGAUGUACGUUGAGUAUGUUUAACUUCCUAUCCAUCCUGGCCUCUUUCCUUAGGAGUCGUACCAGGUGACAUGGUUGUGACAAGUGGUUGACUUGGGUUAGGAGAGGCUUGUUCCCGUAACUUCUGCUGAGUCUUUGGGCCCACCGAGUCUCUGACUUGCAGAUAAGUAGACAAAGACAGCUCUGCUCAAGGCCACCCAUUAGCAAAAUGACAGAGCUGGGAUUCAUUCUGAUAAAAUUCUGAGAGUUGCUGGGAAUACCUGUCAGCAUUCUUAGCCCAAGGAUAGAUACACUGGUGUUCUUGAAGCCCAUUUGGACACUCUUGACACUGGGAAACCAGGGCCAGACUGGCAGUAGGUGCUUCUUGAGGCUAUUCCCCCUCAGGGGAGGUGCAUUCCAGCCUGGAACUGUACACCCCUAUCUAGAGGCCAAAGCUGGAUCCAUAUGUAUCCCAGAAGGAAGCUGUACAAGUCCCCUGGGCUAGAGUCUUCUUCCAGUGAUUUAGUUGGGAGUCCUAUGGGAAAGGGCCCGUUGUUAAUCCUAGGGAAACAGGAAGUCUCAGAGGGUUUUCUCUGUUAAAGGAGGUGAUUUUGCUUUAACCUAAGAGAUGAGUAUAGGCUGGGCAGAGGAGGGUAAGCAUUCAGGGAUUCCUUAGGAAGGUCCUUCAUCCAGGGGGAAGGUACAUGGAAAACAUUUCUAGGCGAUGAGAGAGCUAAACUGUAACCUAGAGAAUGAGCAGACAUUAGCCACUCAGAGAGGUCAGAUGCGAUGGAUGCUAUUUUAGGUAGAAAGAAAACUGGAAUAAAGAGAAUUGUGGGGAGCUGAAGGUAGCUCAUCCAGGCUGGAGAAGAAGGGAGCAGACAUCACGUUCAGCCUGGUGACUAUGGCCCUCUCAUAGAGAAGUGUGAGUGCCAGGUUUGGUGGGACAUGCUAUAAUCCAAACAGUUGGAAAGUGGAGAAAGAAGGGUCAAGAGUUUAAGGCUAGCCUUGGCUACAUAAAGGGUUUGGUAUCAGCCUGAGCUAGAUGAAAUCCCUAAACAAAAAACAGAACAAAUGAUUGUGAGACAGUUGAAGAAUGGGGUAGGGUCUUGUUUGUAUAUCUCUAUCCCUCUAGUGGUUAGGACAUGUUUGACUAAGUAAGAGCUAGGAUAAACCAUGAAUGAACAGAGCACCUGCUGGGAGCAGGAGGCCUGGGGAUGUUUGCAGGGUCAGGGAGGUUGAGAGGCAUGCUGGAAUGUCUAGGGGGGAUGUGCUAAGGGAUGUCUAUUUUCUCUUGGUUGGAAGAACAGGCUUCUUGGGAUAGUGCAGUGAUCUCUACCAGGUUUUCCAACACCUGGCAGUACUUUAGAAGACUUAGCUCCAUCUGAAAGGCACCUAGGGGCAUGGUGACAGAAUUCCAGCUCAGGAACACUACUUGCUAAAAUAUAUUUGUUUAUUCAGAGAUUUAAUUAACAUGUUUAAAUAUUAAAGAGUAAACAAAAUGUGUCUAGUGGGACUCAACAUUUACCAACAGGAGCUCUGGCUUAUUUAAUUAUUUGUGUUUUCCCUGCCCUAAGACUCAGGUUUCUGGCUUCGUUCUAGGCAGACAGUGGGGAGUGUAGGCUCCUCCUAGGACAGGACAGAGAAGUGAGCCUAGGAAGUAGGAAAGUAGGGAGGAGCGGAGGAUUGGGAAGGAAGGAAGCAGGGAGGAGGAGGGGGCGGAAGGAAAGCAAGAGGUUUUCUCAAGAAGUGGAGAUCUCCCAGCCAAGGAAGCCAAUAGCUGGUAUUUAUUUGGUACAAAGAAGAGAGUGUGGGUCUCUAUGCUUUCAUGGAUUGUUUGCUGAUAAAGUCCACCAGGGCAGUGGGAGCAGAGACAAAGAGCAGGGGCCAGUAUGUUCGGAAACCCUGGGAGUGUGUAGAGUGAAUAACCACAGCAGAACCAGCUAUCAGGAGGCAGAUCAACUUUACUUAGGGUGACUCAAGUCUUAUAAAGUUUUGGGGGACUGAGGGUGGGAACAUCCAGGGUGGAUAAAGGUCAUCAUUGGUUGAGGGUUUAGGGUACCCAAAAUGCCCAACUAGCAUGGGGAAACAUUUCAGGAAUGGUUGAAGAUGUUCUUAUCAGGAGAAAGAAAAUGGAUCCUGUAAUCUAACUGAGUCUAUGUGAUAUUCCUCAGGUAGAAGUGUGUGUGUGUGUGUGUGUGUGUGUGUGUGUGUGUGACUUAGAAUUUCCCAGACAAGGUCAGAGAAGGGGAAGCUCUGUUAAUGGAGUGUGCCAUAUUGCGCCAAGCCCAGAGGCAAUCCAGUCAUGGUGGACAUCGACCUUAAUUAGCAGAGUUUUCCCACAGAGAGAGUGAGAUUUGAGGUCUGGAGAGUACAUCCAAGGUGCAAAAUGAGAUGGCUGGAGACAGCUGAGCAUUCUUGGUUGCAGGAGGACUGGAGGGUCUUGAGAUAAUCUGGUGAGAUACCAACUUGAGUCUCUCUGUGCUGAUUUUAUGACAGCAGUGUCUCUCCAUGAUUCCUCAAGAGCCUGCAGACUGGACAGUGGCUGGCUGGACAGCAGCUGGAGAAUAAUUGGCAUUGCAUCACUAUGUUGCAGACACAGGGAGGGAAGGUUCCCCAGCCAGAUCUGCAGGUAGAACUCGGAGAUGGAGGAUCUGCAUUAUAACAUCACCACAAAUGAAGUCCUAGCUGCUGAGAGAUUACACCCGGGGUUAUUUAUUGGCAAUGUGCUCUAUGGUUUUAAUUUUUUCUUUUUGCUUAUUCAGGCUUUAGCUCCAGAGGAAAAUAGCCUGGGGUGGCUCCGAAAUAGAUUCUCUCUGCCCCAUUAACUUAUUCAGUGAGUUUAAUGGUCCUUUCUCCCCUCAGCCUUGAAGCCAUCAUUAAGAGGCAGAGAUUUAUAAAGCAAAGACUGAGCUUUAGUCAAACUUUGAUUGUGGGCUGGGGGAGAGCAAGGGGUCCAGGCAACUGGGCACCCUCUGUCCCGAUGAUAUGGGUGUGGACAUGAGCGUUAAUGACCUUAACUUUCCCUGGCUCUCCAAGGGCAGGGUUUGCCAUGGAUUGCUCUGAAGUGGCUCUGCAGGGCACGGAGUUGAGUGUCUUCUGUUCCAUUUUAUGGGACAUUCCUUAGCUCUUAUCAUAGCUCUAGGUCAUAGCAUCUGCCAAUGGUGUUUACAGAAAAUAGACUUCUCAGAAGUCAGCCUUCAGAGCAGUUAGUUCCUUUCAAAUGAAAUGACUUAAGGACAGCUGUCCAACUUACCAGUGAGAAAAUGGCUGGUCAGUCAACCAGCCAGCCAACCAACCAACCAACCAACCAACCAACCAGCAAAACCCAAACAAAAUCACAAUAGACUAAAAGCCUGAGUACUGGAUGGUUUGCUAAAUUCUCCAGAACUUUCCUUCAAGAGAUAUAAUUAUUGAAUGAAGGUCAAGUCAAACUACAUUACCUCAAGAUUGGUCAAUCCAGCUCAAUCCAGUUCACCACACUUGACUUCUUCCCUUUUUGUGCAUCUGUGGGGUAAAACGCAUUCUGCUGAGGAUACAGUCAGGUGAGUUAGGUCCAGGCUGAUGAGACAACAGCACCAGCAAAGAGAUUGCCCCAGAGCAGUACAACGUGGGGAUUAGGUGACAGCUUGGGAAACUGAGGAAAGAGACAAUGUGUAAUUUGGUGCAUAGGUAGGAUCUGGGUAGGGAGGGAGGUGAAGGAAGGCUGCUUUAGGUUGAAGGUGCACAGAAAUGAUGGGUGGGAUGGAAGAAGUGCAAGGUCCCUAUUUACGCAAGAGUAGGGAAUUUUGAGAAACUAAGAGAGCUGACAACAAGCCCUGAGACUCACUUGGGGAUGACCAAGAACAUCACUAGCCUCUGUACUUUGUUGGCUUAAUGAUAGGAGUCACUCAAGGGUUGGCAGAUAAAUCUUAAAGUUCAGGCAGUGUUUUUUGUUUAUUUGUUUGUUUGUUUUUUGGUUUUUUUCUCUUAUGUUUGUGAAUGAAAAAAAACAGUGAUGAAAAUAGGAAAAUAAAUUAUUCAUAUGUUUAGCAACUCUCUCUCUCUCUUCAAUAGAUUUCCAUUACUUUUCUUAGUAAAGUUGAUUCUAGAAUUAGUGCACAAGGCAAAAGGUGGCCUUUGAAGAGACUUUAAUUCCUGGUUGAACACAGUGAGAUAUGCCCACUCUGAGAGACACACAGCAGCUGAGGUGAGCUGAGGCACAGUUACACCACAGUGAACAAACUGGAUGUGGUAGCAGUUAAAGCAGCUACUGGUUCGUUCUCUGUCUUCCUGGGUGAACAGAAUUGAAUUUGCAUACACUCGGUAUGUCGACCAGACAAGACUAUUGCAUGGCGACUUUGUGUAUGUGUUUCCAUGCAUCCAAGCAGUAGUUUUAGUUUGCAUUCUAAGGAUAGCCUACAGUACAACACGGACUGAAGAAGAGGAGGUGUGGAUACAAGUGGAAGAAACUAGGAGGCCAUUGCAAACCCCAAUGUGAUGUGGUGGUGGUCAAGUAAAGAGAGUUAAAACAACAACAACAACAACAACAACAACAACAACAACAACAACAACCACUCAAACCAAACCAACCAAUCAACCAAACAACAAAACAAUAACAACAAAAAAACCCUUAACCAACAAACCAACCAACCAACCAGCCAGCCAAACACCAAUGAAUGAAAAAAAAACCCAAAACAACAACAACAACAAAAACCUCAAUCAACCAACCAACUGAAAAAUGCUGAUUGUGCGUUGAGGGCAGGAGAUAGCAGGGUUAGUGCGAUCUGUAGUCCAUGAUGGAAAAGAAGAGCCAGCAGGCCGAGGCCCUGUGCCUUCUGUUUGGGACAUAUUGAGUUGAUGGUGUUUGCGGGAGAGGAUUGAGAAGAAGGCUAGGUGUGGCUUGAGUAAUUGUUUCUGAUUGGAGGCUUUCUUAGUGAAGUGGGUCACCAUGGGAAAUCAGCCGGAACAGCUUGUUUGAGAAGAGGCUAAAGACUUGUUCUCCUUCCGGAGCUCCUUCUGCUGUGUCCACUGGCAGCCUUCUCCAUGGCUGUCCAUGGCUUCUCUUGUGGGAGCUGCAUCAAGCUACAAGCACAUUUCACCUGUGUAUUUGUAAGUGGCUUCUGCUUUGGUGUGCCUUCCCUUUCCACUCUUCUGCCUCUCGAAGGCUUAUCUCAGUAUAGUUACAUUGUGAAAUAAUAUGAAGAUCCAAACAAGGUGUUGGUGUGGAGUGAAGAGAAGACGGAGUGACUCAUUUGGGGAUUCACAACCAUCCAUAGCUCCAGCUCCAGGGGUCUGAUACCCCACCUCCAUACAGGCUUUGAAAGCACCUGCACUAAUGUGUACAUCCCCAUACACAGACAUACACACAUAUGUAUAAUCAAAAAUAAUGAAAAUAGACCUUAGCGAAGGAGACUAGGUGUCACAUAGUUAUUAACAGUGACCAGGAAAAUGAAAAGGAUAGUUACUUACCUAUACUCACAUGGUUUUCAACAUGUAGCUGUUUGCUACUUCGUGAGGAAGGCUGGCAAAACUUGAUUGGUCCAUUGUACAAAGAAGACAAGAUCUGGCUGCCUAUUAGUGAGUUAAACAGGGUUAUAUCCAUAUUAGUCAGUCUUCCAUGGUCAUGUUCUCUGAACCCAAAAUGACACAUACAUUGGAGAGGUGAGAUACUUUGGAAGGAUUAGUGUUCCAUCUAUAGACUUUGAAUUAUUCUGGAAAAUAUAGUAUCAGUAUAGUAUCAUCUGUAGGAAUCCUCCUUGGUGUAGAAGUACUUGCAGUGAGAUGAUGA